AGACCCACGGGGCUGCCCUCCCCUGCGCACUCCCCUCGCUGCCCGGGCCCGGAGCGCAGCGCGGCCGCGCAGGUAUUUUUGCUGUGCUGUGCAAGGAACUCUGCUAGCUCAAGGUGAGUAUACUGGGAAAGCCUUAACGUUCUAGAGAACAGAGUUUUGCAGCCCCACCUCCAUCCCCCGGGGUGUGGGAUUGGGGGGCAGGAAAUGCACCGUCUCCUUUGAAAUGGAUUACUGUUUUUUCCUUUCGACCCCCUCUUUCUGCAGCCUGCUUUGUAGGUGCAGUAUAAAAUGCACGCUGAAUGUCUUUUGUAUGUAAACAGCGUAGCAGGAUGGAGUAACGUGAAAUGCAAUUCUACAGCAGUUUUUACGUCUUUGCUGCCUCGUUCGUUGGCUACCGAGAAGGUUCAGGAGGGGGAGGGGAGAUGAGAAAGCAGAUUGGAAGUUGAGUAUGGUGGAGCCUCAGCCUCUCCCACCCUCCUUUCCUCGCUUGUGCUCACUGCUAAAGUUUUGUUACUUUCCCCGCAGCAGAUACUAAACAUCAGUUUGUCCUGUAUUUUCUUUGAGAUUCACAAUGUUGAAAGCCCUUUUCCUAACUAUGCUGACU
RNAcentral lists this small RNA (604 nucleotides) under Pan troglodytes (chimpanzee). RNAcentral's name for it is "processed transcript". Lineage: Eukaryota; Metazoa; Chordata; Mammalia; Primates; Hominidae. The record is from RNAcentral.